CUCUUUGUUUCAUUAAAAUUAAUCCCAAUAACAAUAAAUUACUUAUUAAGUACAUGUUAAAUAAAUAUUAAGAAAGCACACACAUCUAUCAAGUAAAUCAUAUAUGGAGUAACCAAUACAUAAUCUAUUUGGACAUAGUAAUUACGAGAAAGAAGCGCGUGGUGUUACAGGUAAUGUCGUCAAUGGCCAUGAAACCGGGAUGGCAUUUGUUCAAGCAACUAGUGUGCAAAGUAACAAUCUGAGAUCUCUACAAGUUGAAAUGCCUUUCACCUUUUCCUUUAAGGGCUCGCAGCCUUGACUAAACCCAGAUCAAAACAUUCCUUGCAAUAAACAUAUUCGUGGCUGACUUUUCAUUAUCUGACUAUUGAACACCUUCAAGGUGCCUUGUGUUUGGAAACCCACAGAGGCUAAACCCUUUAGAUUAUUUAAGCUGUAAAGGUAAGGACAACUAACGACUACAUCCUAGAGGUGGUCGCCGGUCAUAGUGCUUCGACGGAUGUCGUCGGAGGUGGUGGAGUCCAGUGGUAGUCUUGAUAAUUCUGCAGAAGCCGUGGUGGCUUCGCCGACACUCGUUGGAGAAUAAGCAGCAUCAAUGGUAGGCACCAGAUGUUUGAGCUUAGCUAAGGCUUUAGCCGAACCGCUGACCACAACCGACUGGGUUUUGGAGAUGGCUUCGGACUUUUGGGAUAAAUUACAUUUUUCUCCUGCCAUUUCUUCUCUGAUCUGAAACUCCUUUACCCAGAUGGCUUCAGGUUUAAACCUCCUUUUUAUUCCAGACAUUACGCCCCUGUUUGGCCCCCAUUAUGGGGACAAUUUAAUGUAUAAAAUAGUGUUUUUUGAAAAAUGAGUGGUUGAAAAAGAAAGAAAUUUUUUUGAUUUACGUGUAAUAUUAUUUUAUGGAAGAUUGUGUGAUUGAAAAUAAAAGAGAGAAAAAUAGAAUGUAAUGUAAUGUAAUGAAAAUCAAAUAACGGCGUC
This 975-nucleotide long non-coding RNA is filed under the name Olea europaea subsp. europaea. The record is from RNAcentral. Lineage: Eukaryota; Viridiplantae; Streptophyta; Magnoliopsida; Lamiales; Oleaceae.